AACGAACGCUGGCGGCAGGCCUAACACAUGCAAGUCGAGCGCCCUUUCGGGGGAGCGGCGGACGGGUGAGUAACGCGUGGGAAUAUGCCCUUCUCUACGGAAUAGCCUCGGGAAACUGAGAGUAAUACCGUAUACGCCCUGUGGGGGAAAGAUUUAUCGGGGAAGGAUUAGCCCGCGUUGGAUUAGGUAGUUGGUGGGGUAAUGGCCUACCAAGCCGACGAUCCAUAGCUGGCUUGAGAGGAUGAUCAGCCACACUGGGACUGAGACACGGCCCAGACUCCUACGGGAGGCAGCAGUGGGGAAUCUUAGACAAUGGGGGCAACCCUGAUCUAGCCAUGCCGCGUGAGUGAUGAAGGCCUUAGGGUUGUAAAGCUCUUUCAGCUGGGAAGAUAAUGACGGUACCAGCAGAAGAAGCCCCGGCUAACUCCGUG
Molecule: ribosomal RNA, 431 nt
Filed under: uncultured bacterium
Lineage: Bacteria
Description: partial 16S ribosomal RNA
Rfam family: Bacterial small subunit ribosomal RNA
Source: RNAcentral